AGCGCAUACGGUGGAUGCCUUGGCAGUCAGAGGCGAUGAAAGACGUGGUAGCCUGCGAAAAGCUUCGGGGAGUCGGCAAACAGACUGUGAUCCGGAGAUGUCUGAAUGGGGGAACCCAGCCAUCAUAAGAUGGUUAUCUUGUACUGAAUACAUAGGUGCAAGAGGCGAACCAGGGGAACUGAAACAUCUAAGUACCCUGAGGAAAAGAAAUCAACCGAGAUUCCCUUAGUAGUGGCGAGCGAACGGGGACCAGCCCUUAAGUUGUAUUGAGAUUAGCGGAACGUUCUGGAAAGGACGGCCAUAGUGGGUGAUAGCCCUGUACGCGAAAAUCCCUUUGCAAUGAAAUCGAGUAGGACGGGGCACGAGAAACCUUGUCUGAAUAUGGGGGGACCAUCCUCCAAGGCUAAAUACUACUGACUGACCGAUAGUGAACCAGUACCGUGAGGGAAAGGCGAAAAGAACCGCGGAGAGCGGAGUGAAAUAGAUCCUGAAACCGUAUGCGUACAAGCAGUGGGAGCCCACUUUGUUGGGUGACUGCGUACCUUUUGUAUAAUGGGUCAGCGACUUAUUUUCAGUGGCGAGCUUAACCGAAUAGGGGAGGCGUAGCGAAAGCGAGUCUUAAUAGGGCGUCUAGUCGCUGGGAAUAGACCCGAAACCGGGCGAUCUAUCCAUGGGCAGGUUGAAGGUUGGGUAACACUAACUGGAGGACCGAACCGACUACCGUUGAAAAGUUAGCGGAUGACCUGUGGAUCGGAGUGAAAGGCUAAUCAAGCUCGGAGAUAGCUGGUUCUCCUCGAAAGCUAUUUAGGUAGCGCCUCAUGUAUCACUGUAGGGGGUAGAGCACUGUUUCGGCUAGGGGGUCAUCCCGACUUACCAAACCGAUGCAAACUCCGAAUACCUACAAGUGCCGAGCAUGGGAGACACACGGCGGGUGCUAACGUCCGUCGUGAAAAGGGAAACAACCCAGACCGUCAGCUAAGGUCCCAAAGUCAUGGUUAAGUGGGAAACGAUGUGGGAAGGCUUAGACAGCUAGGAGGUUGGCUUAGAAGCAGCCACCCUUUAAAGAAAGCGUAAUAGCUCACUAGUCGAGUCGGCCUGCGCGGAAGAUGUAACGGGGCUCAAACCAUGCACCGAAGCUACGGGUAUCAUCUUUUGAUGAUGCGGUAGAGGAGCGUUCUGUAAGCCUGUGAAGGUGAGUUGAGAAGCUUGCUGGAGGUAUCAGAAGUGCGAAUGCUGACAUGAGUAACGACAAUGGGUGUGAAAAACACCCACGCCGAAAGACCAAGGUUUCCUGCGCAACGUUAAUCGACGCAGGGUUAGUCGGUCCCUAAGGCGAGGCUGAAAAGCGUAGUCGAUGGAAAACAGGUUAAUAUUCCUGUACUUCUGGUUAUUGCGAUGGAGGGACGGAGAAGGCUAGGCCAGCCUGGCGUUGGUAGUCCAGGUUUAAGGUGGUAGGCUGAGAUCUUAGGUAAAUCCGGGAUCUUAAGGCCGAGAGCUGAUGACGAGUGUUCUUUUAGAACAUGAAGUGGUUGAUGCCAUGCUUCCAAGAAAAGCUUCUAAGCUUCAGGUAACCAGGAACCGUACCCCAAACCGACACAGGUGGUUGGGUAGAGAAUACCAAGGCGCUUGAGAGAACUCGGGUGAAGGAACUAGGCAAAAUGGCACCGUAACUUCGGGAGAAGGUGCGCCGGUGGAGGUGAAGCAUUUACUGCGUAAGCCCCUGCCGGUCGAAGAUACCAGGCCGCUGCGACUGUUUAUUAAAAACACAGCACUCUGCAAACACGAAAGUGGACGUAUAGGGUGUGACGCCUGCCCGGUGCCGGAAGGUUAAUUGAUGGGGUUAGCGCAAGCGAAGCUCUUGAUCGAAGCCCCGGUAAACGGCGGCCGUAACUAUAACGGUCCUAAGGUAGCGAAAUUCCUUGUCGGGUAAGUUCCGACCUGCACGAAUGGCGUAACGAUGGCGGCGCUGUCUCCACCCGAGACUCAGUGAAAUUGAAAUCGCUGUGAAGAUGCAGUGUAUCCGCGGCUAGACGGAAAGACCCCGUGAACCUUUACUAUAGCUUUGCACUGGACUUUGAAUUUGCUUGUGUAGGAUAGGUGGGAGGCUUUGAAGCGUGGACGCCAGUCUGCGUGGAGCCAACCUUGAAAUACCACCCUGGCAACUUUGAGGUUCUAACUCAGGUCCGUUAUCCGGAUCGAGGACAGUGUAUGGUGGGUAGUUUGACUGGGGCGGUCUCCUCCUAAAGAGUAACGGAGGAGUACGAAGGUGCGCUCAGACCGGUCGGAAAUCGGUCGUAGAGUAUAAAGGCAAAAGCGCGCUUGACUGCGAGACAGACACGUCGAGCAGGUACGAAAGUAGGUCUUAGUGAUCCGGUGGUUCUGUAUGGAAGGGCCAUCGCUCAACGGAUAAAAGGUACUCCGGGGAUAACAGGCUGAUACCGCCCAAGAGUUCAUAUCGACGGCGGUGUUUGGCACCUCGAUGUCGGCUCAUCACAUCCUGGGGCUGAAGCCGGUCCCAAGGGUAUGGCUGUUCGCCAUUUAAAGUGGUACGCGAGCUGGGUUUAGAACGUCGUGAGACAGUUCGGUCCCUAUCUGCCGUGGACGUUUGAGAUUUGAGAGGGGCUGCUCCUAGUACGAGAGGACCGGAGUGGACGAACCUCUGGUGUUCCGGUUGUCACGCCAGUGGCAUUGCCGGGUAGCUAUGUUCGGAAAAGAUAACCGCUGAAAGCAUCUAAGCGGGAAACUUGCCUCAAGAUGAGAUCUCACUGGAACCUUGA
RNAcentral lists this ribosomal RNA (2777 nucleotides) under Pseudomonas syringae pv. syringae. RNAcentral's name for it is "bacterial LSU rRNA". It matches the Rfam family "Bacterial large subunit ribosomal RNA". The record is from RNAcentral. Lineage: Bacteria; Pseudomonadati; Pseudomonadota; Gammaproteobacteria; Pseudomonadales; Pseudomonadaceae.